AUGGCAUGGGGUAACAAUCUAAUCGCCACAGUCACUAAGAUGGAGUUUAAGGCGCAUGGUGUGUUUGGCAAGUUUCACACGGGGGAUUCUUCCAAAUUUGGCCAAGAUGACAUACAACAUUGGGUCCCAUGUCUUCUCGUGAAGUUUUUGUUUUUUCAUGCAUCAACAAUCUUACAAGCAGUAACAUAUCUUCUUUUUGUUUUGUUUUUGUCUGCCAACCAGGAGCUGGAUGGAAGAGCUUUUAACAAACAAAUUUUGCACAGAAGAAGUGAUCACCAAGAAGCAGUCUACUACUUUUCAAUUUUUUAG
RNAcentral lists this ribosomal RNA (309 nucleotides) under Triticum aestivum (bread wheat). Its description in RNAcentral is "partial small subunit ribosomal RNA". Lineage: Eukaryota; Viridiplantae; Streptophyta; Magnoliopsida; Poales; Poaceae. The record is from RNAcentral.